GGUCCGAUGGUGUAGUUGGUUAUCACGUCAGUCUAACACACUGAAGGUCUCCAGUUCGAACCUGGAUCGGAUCA
This is a transfer RNA of 74 nucleotides. It matches the Rfam family "tRNA". Rfam says of the family: Transfer RNA (tRNA) molecules are approximately 80 nucleotides in length. Their secondary structure includes four short double-helical elements and three loops (D, anti-codon, and T loops). The record is from Rfam.